CAAAUAAAAGUAUUAAGCAUAACAAUACUUACAAGUACACGAGUUUUUGGUGGCUUUUUCUAUUUAUAAUUUUUCUUCAAGUAAAUUCUAUACAUUAUUUUAAAAUCGGGAUUGUAUGAUUGGGUCGGGUAACGAGCGACACAUAUGAGACAUGUGAUUGAUCUAAUGGUUGACAAAGAUCGAAAGCUAUACCGUGAAUUCGGCAUGUUAAAGUCAUGUAAUCUCGAUCCUGUAUUUUAU
This 240-nucleotide long non-coding RNA is filed under the name Trifolium pratense (red clover). Its description in RNAcentral is "long non-coding RNA (TPRA_LNC013184)". Lineage: Eukaryota; Viridiplantae; Streptophyta; Magnoliopsida; Fabales; Fabaceae. The record is from RNAcentral.